GGUUAAGCGACUAAGCGUACACGGUGGAUGCCCUGGCAGUCAGAGGCGAUGAAGGACGUGCUAAUCUGCGAAAAGCGCCGGCGAGGUGAUAUGAACCUUUGACCCGGCGAUGUCCGAAUGGGGAAACCCAGUGCAAUUCGUUGCACUAUCGUUAACUGAAUACAUAGGUUAACGAGGCGAACCGGGGGAACUGAAACAUCUAAGUACCCCGAGGAAAAGAAAUCAACCGAGAUUCCCCCAGUAGCGGCGAGCGAACGGGGAGCAGCCCGGAGUCUGAAUCAGCUUGUGUGUUAGUGGAACGGUCUGGAAAGUCCGACGGUACAGGGUGAUAGUCCCGUACACGAAAAUGCACAUGCUGUGAACUCGAAGAGUAGGGCGGGACACGUGGUAUCCUGUCUGAAUAUGGGGGGACCAUCCUCCAAGGCUAAAUACUCCUGACUGACCGAUAGUGAACCAGUACCGUGAGGGAAAGGCGAAAAGAACCCCGGCGAGGGGAGUGAAAAAGAACCUGAAACCGUGUACGUACAAGCAGUGGGAGCACCUUCGGGUGUGACUGCGUACCUUUUGUAUAAUGGGUCAGCGACUUAUAUUCUGUAGCAAGGUUAACCGUAUAGGGGAGCCGAAGGGAAACCGAGUCUUAACUGGGCGUUAAGUUGCAGGGUAUAGACCCGAAACCCGGUGAUCUAGCCAUGGGCAGGUUGAAGGUUGGGUAACACUAACUGGAGGACCGAACCGACUAAUGUUGAAAAAUUAGCGGAUGACCUGUGGCUGGGGGUGAAAGGCCAAUCAAACCGGGAGAUAGCUGGUUCUCCCCGAAAGCUAUUUAGGUAGCGCCUCGUGAACUCAUCUUCGGGGGUAGAGCACUGUUUCGGCUAGGGGGCCAUCCCGGCUUACCAACCCGAUGCAAACUACGAAUACCGAAGAAUGUUAUCACGGGAGACACACGGCGGGUGCUAACGUCCGUCGUGAAGAGGGAAACAACCCAGACCGCCAGCUAAGGUCCCAAAGUCAUGGUUAAGUGGGAAACGAUGUGGGAAGGCACAGACAGCCAGGAUGUUGGCUUAGAAGCAGCCAUCAUUUAAAGAAAGCGUAAUAGCUCACUGGUCGAGUCGGCCUGCGCGGAAGAUGUAACGGGGCUAAACCAUGCACCGAAGCUGCGGCAGCGACACUUAUGUGUUGUUGGGUAGGGGAGCGUUCUGUAAGCCGUUGAAGGUGUGCUGUGAGGCAUGCUGGAGGUAUCAGAAGUGCGAAUGCUGACAUAAGUAACGAUAAAGCGGGUGAAAAGCCCGCUCGCCGGAAGACCAAGGGUUCCUGUCCAACGUUAAUCGGGGCAGGGUGAGUCGACCCCUAAGGCGAGGCCGAAAGGCGUAGUCGAUGGGAAACAGGUUAAUAUUCCUGUACUUGGUGUUACUGCGAAGGGGGGACGGAGAAGGCUAUGUCAGCCGGGCGACGGUUGUCCCGGUUUAAGCAUGUAGGCGGAGGUUCCAGGUAAAUCCGGUACCUUAUUAACGCUGAGGUGUGAUGACGAGGCACUACGGUGCUGAAGUGAUAAAUGCCCUGCUUCCAGGAAAAGCCUCUAAGCAUCAGGUAACACGAAAUCGUACCCCAAACCGACACAGGUGGUCAGGUAGAGAAUACCAAGGCGCUUGAGAGAACUCGGGUGAAGGAACUAGGCAAAAUGGUGCCGUAACUUCGGGAGAAGGCACGCUGAUAUGUAGGUGAAGCCCCUGCGGGCGGAGCUGAAAUCAGUCGAAGAUACCAGCUGGCUGCAACUGUUUAUUAAAAACACAGCACUGUGCAAACACGAAAGUGGACGUAUACGGUGUGACGCCUGCCCGGUGCCGGAAGGUUAAUUGAUGGGGUUAGCGGCAACGCGAAGCUCUUGAUCGAAGCCCCGGUAAACGGCGGCCGUAACUAUAACGGUCCUAAGGUAGCGAAAUUCCUUGUCGGGUAAGUUCCGACCUGCACGAAUGGCGUAAUGAUGGCCAGGCUGUCUCCACCCGAGACUCAGUGAAAUUGAACUCGCUGUGAAGAUGCAGUGUACCCGCGGCAAGACGGAAAGACCCCGUGAACCUUUACUAUAGCUUGACACUGAACACUGGUCCUUGAUGUGUAGGAUAGGUGGGAGGCUUUGAAGCGUGGACGCCAGUCUGCGUGGAGCCGUCCUUGAAAUACCACCCUUUAAUGGCUGGUGUUCUAACGUAGACCCGUGAUCCGGGUUGCGGACAGUGUCUGGUGGGUAGUUUGACUGGGGCGGUCUCCUCCCAAAGAGUAACGGAGGAGCACGAAGGUUGGCUAAUCCUGGUCGGACAUCAGGAGGUUAGUGCAAUGGCAUAAGCCAGCUUGACUGCGAGCGUGACGGCGCGAGCAGGUGCGAAAGCAGGUCAUAGUGAUCCGGUGGUUCUGAAUGGAAGGGCCAUCGCUCAACGGAUAAAAGGUACUCCGGGGAUAACAGGCUGAUACCGCCCAAGAGUUCAUAUCGACGGCGGUGUUUGGCACCUCGAUGUCGGCUCAUCACAUCCUGGGGCUGAAGUAGGUCCCAAGGGUAUGGCUGUUCGCCAUUUAAAGUGGUACGCGAGCUGGGUUUAGAACGUCGUGAGACAGUUCGGUCCCUAUCUGCCGUGGGCGCUGGAGAAUUGAGGGGGGCUGCUCCUAGUACGAGAGGACCGGAGUGGACGCAUCACUGGUGUUCGGGUUGUCAUGCCAAUGGCACUGCCCGGUAGCUAAAUGCGGAAGAGAUAAGUGCUGAAAGCAUCUAAGCACGAAACUUGCCCCGAGAUGAGUUCUCCCUGAGACUUUAAGUCUCCUGAAGGAACGUUGAAGACGACGACGUUGAUAGGUCGGGUGUGUAAGCGCAGCGAUGCGUUGAGCUAACCGAUACUAAUGAACCGUGAGGCUUAACCUU
Molecule: ribosomal RNA, 2905 nt
Filed under: Enterobacter hormaechei
Lineage: Bacteria; Pseudomonadati; Pseudomonadota; Gammaproteobacteria; Enterobacterales; Enterobacteriaceae
Description: 23S ribosomal RNA
Rfam family: Bacterial large subunit ribosomal RNA
Source: RNAcentral